Molecule: non-coding RNA, 897 nt
Organism: Tinamus guttatus (white-throated tinamou)
Lineage: Eukaryota; Metazoa; Chordata; Aves; Tinamiformes; Tinamidae
Source: RefSeq, a predicted model, not a curated record
AGAAUUCUUCAGUGGGAAAGGAAUGCUUCACCCAGAAUGAAUGGCAAAUUGCACGUCACAAUGGAGUAGAAGAAAAGCCAUAAUGGAAGUUCAGAUCAUGACCUUCUACUCUGAGAGAACAAAGUCAGGGAGGAAUAAGAUCAUCUCCUACAGCAAGGUAAAAGACUUCGAAGGUUUUCCUACAGUCUACAUCAGUAGCAAUCAGAUUCUAUUAAUGUGGGAGUGAGGUUUGUGACUUGGCCAGUGAAAAAGCUCAGAAGUCUUCCAGAUGCAGGAAUCAGCUUUGGAAAUACACUGAGCUGUUUCUUAAGUAUGUCUCUUUUGCUUGCUUGGGAGGGGGCAGGAGGGAACGACAAGACAUAGGCUUUGUGCAUGUAGAUUAUGAAUGUGAUAGCCCUGGGAUUUCUUCUAUUGUAAAUUACACCUUCUUCCCUAAUUCCAUGGCAUUUCCCUUAUCCAAGAGCUUUUUCUUAAAAAUACUGUCAUUCUCAUGAACUUUACUGCCCUCCUGGCCAACUUGUACCUGUUAUUGGCUUCUACAAAAUCUGAGAGAUUUCUCUUAUGUCCAUUUCCAUCAUGUAUUUUCAAAAUACUUGAAUGUGACUUCCAGUGAGUUGUGUUUUAUGCCACUUAAAUAAACACUUUGUUCUUUCCAUUCAACUCUGGUAACUUGAUACCACACAAUAAAUGUUAAUAAAGUUCCUGCAGAGUAGUGCUCUUUAGACAGCUUAUUUUUCUUCCUUCCUUUCAUGUUGUGCCCUUAUUGAUGACUCAGUCCAUAUCACAAAUGUUCCUAAAGAAGAUAAAAUGUAAAUAAAAGUGAAAGAUGCUGGUCAGAUAAGGCACUCGGAAGGACACAGGAAAUGCUUCCUAAAGAAAAUGUUUUUCUCUCUCCAA